Molecule: small RNA, 214 nt
Filed under: Actinoplanes sp. SE50/110
Lineage: Bacteria; Bacillati; Actinomycetota; Actinomycetes; Micromonosporales; Micromonosporaceae
Description: Actinobacteria sRNA Ms_IGR-5
Rfam family: Actinobacteria sRNA Ms_IGR-5
Source: Rfam by way of RNAcentral
ACACGUGAAGGGAGGUGGUCCGAAGUUGUAUAGCAACGGGACUCGUGAGGUGGCUGUCCGCUAGCCGCUGUCCUUGACAGCUUCGUUUUGAGCGUCGAGACCGUGUGGCAGCGGCCGGCGAGUACCAGACAGCCACCCGACCCCCGGGGAUCCGGCCUUGUCCGACCGGACCUCGCUCGUUCGCGAGCGAGGAAGUCCCCGGGGGUCGCUUAAU